Molecule: ribosomal RNA, 468 nt
Filed under: uncultured bacterium
Lineage: Bacteria
Description: partial 16S ribosomal RNA
Rfam family: Bacterial small subunit ribosomal RNA
Source: RNAcentral
GACGAACGCUGGCGGCGUGCUUAACACAUGCAAGUCGAACGGCAAGGCCCUGCUUUUGUGGGGUGCUCGAGUGGCGAACGGGUGAGUAACACGUGUGUAACCUGCCCUUGACUUUGGGAUAACUUCAGGAAACUGGGGCUACUACCGGAUAGGAGCCCCUGUUGCAUGGUGGGGGUUGGAAAGUUUCGGCGGUUGGGGAUGGACUCGCGGCUUAUCAGCUUGUUGGUGGGGUAGUGGCUUACCAAGGCUUUGACGGGUAGCCGGCCUGAGAGGGUGACCGGCCACAUUGGGACUGAGAGACGGACCAGACUCCUACGGGAGACAGCAGGGGGGAAUAUGGCACAAUGGGCCGGAGCCUGAUGCAGCGACGCCGCGUGCGUGAUGACGGCCUUCGGGGUGUAAACCGCUUUCGCCUGUGACGAAGCGUGAGUGACGGUAAUGGGUAAAGAAGCACCGGCUAACUACGUG